RNAcentral lists this ribosomal RNA (448 nucleotides) under uncultured prokaryote. RNAcentral describes it as "bacterial SSU rRNA". It matches the Rfam family "Bacterial small subunit ribosomal RNA", at positions 355 to 796 of the family's 1533-position model. The record is from RNAcentral.
UCGCGAAUCUUCCGCAAUGGGCGAAAGCCUGACGGAGCGACGCCGCGUGUGGGAUGAAGGCCUUCGGGUUGUAAACCACUGUCACGGGUUAAGAACACCGGCAAGAUAACAUCAAACCGGAUGACAAAGGCCCGAGAGGAAGUCACGGCUAACUCUGUGCCAGCAGCCGCGGUAAGACAGAGGUGGCAAGCGUUGCUCGGAAUCACUGGGCAUAAAGGGCGCGUAGGCGGUCACGUGCGUCGGGGGUGAAAUCUCCGGGCUCAACCCGGAAACUGCCUUCGAUACGGCGUGACUUGAGUGCGGGAGGGGAGAGUGGAACUCCUGGUGUAGCGGUGAAAUGCGUAGAUAUCAGGAGGAACGCCGGCGGCGAAAGCGACUCUCUGGUCCGCAACUGACGCUGAGGCGCGAAAGCUAGGGGAGCGAACGGGAUUAGAUACCCCCGUAGUCC